This is a non-coding RNA of Dermacoccus sp. PE3, 73 nucleotides long. Lineage: Bacteria; Bacillati; Actinomycetota; Actinomycetes; Micrococcales; Dermacoccaceae. The record is from Rfam.
GUCCCCAUCGUCUAGCGGCCUAGGACACUGCCCUUUCACGGCAGCGGCACGGGUUCGAAUCCCGUUGGGGAUA